AGUGAACGCUGGCGGUAGGCCUAACACAUGCAAGUCGAACGGCAGCACAGUAAGAGCUUGCUCUUACGGGUGGCGAGUGGCGGACGGGUGAGGAAUACAUCGGAAUCUACUUUUUCGUGGGGGAUAACGUAGGGAAACUUACGCUAGUACCGCAUACGACCUACGGGUGAAAGCAGGGGAUCUUCGGACCUUGCGCGAUUGAAUGAGCCGAUGUCGGAUUAGCUAGUUGGCGGGGUAAAGGCCCACCAAGGCGACGAUCCGUAGCUGGUCUGAGAGGAUGAUCAGCCACACUGGAACUGAGACACGGUCCAGACUCCUACGGGGGGCAGCAGUGGGGAAUAUUGGACAAUGGGCGCAAGCCUGAUCCAGCCAUACCGCGUGGGUGAAGAAGGCCUUCGGGUUGUAAAGCCCUUUUGUUGGGAAAGAAAAGCAGCAGGUUAAUACCCCGCUGUUCUGACGGUACCCAAAGAAUAAGCACCGGCUAACUUCGUG
This 492-nucleotide ribosomal RNA is filed under the name uncultured bacterium. RNAcentral's name for it is "partial 16S ribosomal RNA". It matches the Rfam family "Bacterial small subunit ribosomal RNA", at positions 29 to 507 of the family's 1533-position model. The record is from RNAcentral.